CUGCAGCCCUCCGGGACUUAAAAUGAGCCACCUUAGCGACGUUACUGAUAUUGCUUUUAAACGAAACGCGCGCGCGCGCACGCACUCGUGUGUGUGUGAACAAGCAUGAAAUAUAUAAUGAAAUCUGUUACAUAUCCAUCAUUUUUACAUAGGCCAAACAUCGAGUUUUAUCAACAGAUCAUCUAUGGGUCGUGUUGAGAAAGCGGGGGGAUGAAAUGGAAGAUGAGGUGUUGCGUAAGCUGGUGGGAUCGAUGUCAAGCAGAGUGAAGGCGGUAAUCAAGGGUAAAGGCGGACACACCAAGUACUACCCAUUUCUGACCUUCAACAAAUAGGCUACCUACACAAGUUUUUAGACUUGGCUGUACAGCUGGAGCUCGGCAGCUGAGCCAUCCUCUCUCCUCAUGGGUGCUCUCCUGUGAAUAAUUGAAGACGACUGGUGAAAUGUGCGCGCCCGGAACGUCACAGGGAAGAGCUAUUUCAGAGGAGCCGUAGCCGGCACGUCCCGCCCCUUAACCCCGAUGGGGAGGAGGCCAAAUGCGCCCCACCGCUGUGUACCCCCGGGCGCAGUGGCAUAAAUGACGGUGCGGAGGUCGGGUCCUCAGAACAGCCGACAUUUUCCAAGUUCGCUCCCCAUCAAUUAAAAAAUGCUUAAAUGCAAAUUGAAGGCUACGUCAAGGCAACAGGUGCUGAGGAGGCACCCACUAAUUACCAGCAGCUGAAUUAGCUCCAGAACUUCUCGGGGCUUGGACAAGGAUUGAGAGGCGCACCUGCAGCAACGACACCUGACCACAUAGAACCAGUUUGUGGAUAGAAGAUGACAAUACCUGAAUCAAAAAAUAUAUAUAUUUUAAAGUGAUAAUCA
Anguilla rostrata (American eel) is the source of this 862-nucleotide long non-coding RNA. RefSeq lists it as uncharacterized. The record is from RefSeq and is a predicted model, not a curated record. The transcript has 2 exons. Lineage: Eukaryota; Metazoa; Chordata; Actinopteri; Anguilliformes; Anguillidae.